RNAcentral lists this ribosomal RNA (438 nucleotides) under uncultured bacterium. RNAcentral describes it as "partial 16S ribosomal RNA". It matches the Rfam family "Bacterial small subunit ribosomal RNA", at positions 339 to 795 of the family's 1533-position model. The record is from RNAcentral.
CUACGGGCGGCACCAGUGAGGAAUAUUGCACAAUGGGGGGAACCCUGAUGCAGCAACGCCGCGUGGAGGAUGACGCAUUUCGGUGUGUAAACUCCUUUUAUAUGUCAAGAAAAUGACGGUAGCAUAUGAAUAAGCACCGGCUAACUCCGUGCCAGCAGCCGCGGUAAUACGGAGGGUGCAAGCGUUACUCGGAAUCACUGGGCGUAAAGGACGCGUAGGCGGGUUGGAAAGUCAGGUGUGAAAUCUACAGCUUAACUGUAGAACUGCACUUGAAACUUCUAAUCUAGAGUAUGGGAGGGGGAGAUGGAAUUAGUGGUGUAGGGGUAAAAUCCGUAGAUAUCACUAGGAAUACCUAAAGCGAAGGCGAUCUCCUGGAACAUUACUGACGCUAAGGCGUGAAAGCGUGGGGAGCAAACAGGAUUAGAUACCCUUGUAGUC